CCCUCGAGGAGAAGCCGUCGCCCCCAUCUCCCGCUCCGCCGCCGCCCGCCUUACCGUAUCUCCCUCUCAGCCACCUCCACCACCCCCACGCUUCUCCCCAUCGCCGGAUCCGCUAUCAGAUCGCCAAGGUUAGGCGGCAGAGCUACACGUCCGCGACGCGCUCAUGCUCGUCAAGGAAGGGGCUCCCGAUCGAAUCUGCGCUCACGCGGCUUGUGUGCCAUGGCCGCCAUGGCAUCCAUGGCCGACAAGAGGGGACCCUCGGCCUCGGCCAUGGCCGCCUGCUUUGGACACGGGGUCGCCACAUCCGACGCUGCCAGCGCCUCGUGGACCGCCAUCAGGAGCUCCAGGUCCGCCGCUAUCGAACUCUACGGCCAUGGUCACCACGUCCAUGGUCGAUCAACUGAUCUGAUCUGAUCACAAGUUCCACAGGAAGAAAAUCUAGAAAUUCUUGCGCUGGAUGCAGUAGACGAAAUUGAAUGUACACGUACGUGGAUCCAAGUCCGAGUUGGGAGCGCCAUCGAUCCGACGAACGUGCAAGGAAUUUCUGAAUCCAGGACUUCUAUUUGAGCAUUCUUUGUGGACAGGUUGACGACAGGAGCUGAAGUACGUUUGAACAAACGUUUUCUUUCAGUUUUCCCAAGAAGAACAUGAGGCUGGUACGACAGGGGCUGGUACUGCAUCUCGUCGGCGGAAGGCGAAAAGAAUGGCGGCGGCGGGCAAUAUGGGAGAAGACGGUGCCCUGCCUGACAACGGACUCGAAUUUCUACUGGAUCCGGUUGACAGAGAGGUGGUUGCGGACGUUGAGGUGCCAGAUCCGUUGGCGGCGAGGGACUUAGUGGCGACAGACAUGGCUGGCGCCGAUUCCUCAUGCGCGGUUGUGGUUGGGCACCUCGGCGGAGCUGCUGAGCCCCGGGAUUCUGGCGGCAAGAGGAAACAGUAGUCAACCCAGUCCGUGGAAUCGACCGGGAAAGUGAACACGGAGGCGCCCAGGUCGACCAGAAGGUAAAAAGUAAAAUUAGAGUUCUGAAACUUUCAGACAGAAUGGUUUUGAUUUUUGCAAGCACUGUCACAUACUUGUGCAUGAGCAUAUAUGCCCGGUGCUGUGAUUACUCGUUUCAGCUGGGUAUCCUCGUGAUUUUUCUGGUCAUACUAAUGCGAAUUGGUGUUUCAUAUAUACGACUAGCCAAGAAGUUUUUAGAUGGAUCAUGUCAUAGAUGGACUAGCCAAGAUUGUUUUUAGAUGGAGUGACGAGUGGCACCUGCAGUUCUAAAGGAAAUGUUAGGGUAAGAAGGUUUAAUUCAGCACGCAAAACACAUAACCAUUGUACGACCAGACAGUUGUGGCACAACAGAAAACUAUAGCUACAACUUUUCUAUUUAAUUAAAUUUUUAGUUGACGAUAGUAUUAUCUAUUUUAUAAUUUUUAAUGUUAUAAGACUCCAAUCCAAUGCAGAGCUUAUGCCCGUCAUUGGCUUGUCUCCCCUGGGCUGUGCAUCCAGCUCCAGCGGGUUCAGCACGACUGAGGCAGCAGUGGGAAGGAAGAUUAUUCGGUAGGAUGGCGCUGACAACAUAUCGGAGAUGCGCCAAGCCUUGCUGCGACCUAGCUUUCUUGUGCUUGCUCUCCUUCCCCAACAACAGACCAUCAUGGCCCUCCCUUUUGUUGUUCAUCAAUGGGGGUCAUGUUCACAUCAGAACCUUCAUCAGCACAAUCUUCAUGAAUUUUCCAUAUUUGUCAUAUCUCUCUGAUUGUCCAAUGCAGAUCAUGUUGUUAAAAAGUGAAACUUCUGGGUUGAUUUCAGGUUUAAGGCGUAAAGACUUUUUUAGUUUAUGUUCGUGCUGGAAAAUUUAUGUUCAUUGUCGCACCAAUCAUGUCGGAACCGAAUUUAUUUUCAUUGUUUCAGUCCAAUUCAUCCUUAGAGGGAAAGUGUGGGCCUUGAACUGAAGGAGAGGCAAAUAUGUUUCUGUUCAUAGUUAAAUUGGUUCUUGAUUUGAAGAGAUUAUAGAGCCACGUAAUUUUGUACCCGAGCACUGCCAACUGUCGACGAUUUGUAUUGUGUGUUGUUUUACAGUACCUACUUGCCAAUAUUAUUGUGUUGUUUCUCCUAACAAUUGUAGACAUGAAUACAUUUUUGACGAGGUGAAGACAACAGAGAUUGGAGGUAUGCGCUGGGCUCUUUGACACAAGCUAGGGAGGAGUAAGCUGACUGCAUAAUGAGAAAUGUUGAAGUAGUCCAAGGAGGAAUGACACACUGGCUGUGUGUGUGAUGACCUUAACUCUGAAAAAUGAGUUUUUCUUUCUUUCUAAAAUCUAGAGUGGAUUAAUUCUACAAGUAUCCUGAGUUUCUGAUAUGCUUUGCACAUCCACAUACGUGACAGCUGCAAGUUUAACCUGCUCUGAAAUCUCAGAGUUUGUUAGAAGAAACUAUAUUGUUGAUGUGGCUCUUUCACAGUUUUCAUUUCUAAUAAAAUGUGAAGGUGCAACUAUCCUGAA
This is a non-coding RNA of Aegilops tauschii subsp. strangulata, 2490 nucleotides long. The record is from RefSeq and is a predicted model, not a curated record. Lineage: Eukaryota; Viridiplantae; Streptophyta; Magnoliopsida; Poales; Poaceae.